UACGAAGGGGGCUAGCGUUGCUCGGAAUCACUGGGCGUAAAGCGCACGUAGGCGGACUCUUAAGUCGGUGGUGAAAUCCUGGAGCUCAACUCCAGAACUGCCUUCGAUACUGAGAGUCUUGAGUCCGGGAGAGGUGAGUGGAACUGCGAGUGUAGAGGUGAAAUUCGUAGAUAUUCGCAAGAACACCAGUGGCGAAGGCGGCUCACUGGCCCGGUACUGACGCUGAGGCGCGAAAGCUAGGGGAGCGAACGGG
RNAcentral lists this ribosomal RNA (253 nucleotides) under uncultured bacterium. RNAcentral's name for it is "partial 16S ribosomal RNA". It matches the Rfam family "Bacterial small subunit ribosomal RNA", at positions 524 to 776 of the family's 1533-position model. The record is from RNAcentral.